This is a long non-coding RNA of Pan troglodytes (chimpanzee), 5302 nucleotides long. RefSeq lists it as uncharacterized. The record is from RefSeq and is a predicted model, not a curated record. The transcript has 7 exons. NCBI's taxonomy places the organism in Eukaryota, Metazoa, Chordata, Mammalia, Primates, Hominidae.
CAAAUCGUGAGAAGGGGGAGUUGGGUCCUGUGAAACCCAUUUGCUUUGUUAACUGAUACUUGCUGAUGUUGGGCUUCUACCCUCCCACAGAGGUCAGGAGACAGCAGGCCUAUCUUCAAGUCUUGGCUGGGACAAGCAUGCUAUAGAUUGUCUGUGUACUUACAUAAGUUAUAUGUUGAAAUCAUAAACCCCAAUGUGAUGAUAUUGGGAGAGGAAGUCUUUGGGGGUUGAUUAGAUCAUGAGUGAUGAACUCAAGAAUGGCCUUAGUGACCUCAUAAAAGAGACUCCAGAGAGCUUUCUUGCCUCUUCUGCCAUGUGAGGGCACAGCAAGAAGACCAUGCUCUAUAAAUCAGAAAAUGGGUCCCUACAGACCAAACUGGCUGGCACCUUUAUUGUGGACUUUCCAAUCUGCGGAAAUUUUUUAUAGACCAAAGUUAAGGCUGAAUUGAGAAGGCUCAGAAGACCCUGGCUAGAGUUUCAUCAAGUUUAAAAUGAUCGUCAACUCUGUAUACAUCAAAAUUGAGUUCGGAAGCUGAUACUUACAGCAGUGGAGAUUAGCAAUACCUGGACAGAGUUGAGCUUCAAAGGACACUGAGAAAUGGCUAAAGCAGCGUGUCUCUGAGCAAGUUCCCCUGGCUCCACUAUCACACACUCAUCUGAGGGUAACUUUUCGUCACUAUUCAGCACUGAGGCCCAGAGUCUCCUCUAAGCUCCUUGUUUGAACUCAGAUGUCACAGAUAGAAUUAGUGUGUCCUUAUGAGCUGUAUCCUUCAUACUCUCUCAUCCCACCUGAUGAGAUAUACCCACAGGUGUGGAGGGGCAGGCCACACCUUCAUCUGGCACCCAACGUGGGUGCCUUUCUCUAUGGUGAAGGUAUGCUAAGAACAUGAGCAUUGAGGACAACUGAUGAGAGAUUCCUGAGUACGUCCACGGUCAGCCUUGUGGUAAGCUUGUGCACUCGGAGGAACCCAGGGUAACAAUGGGGCAAACUGAAAGUAAAUAUGCCUCUUAUCUCAGCCUCAUUAAAAUUCUCUUUAGAAGAGGGGGAGUUAAAACUUCUACAGAAAAUCUAAUUAUGCUAUUUCAAAUAAUAGAACAAUUCUGCCCAUGGUUUCCAGAACAGGGAACUUUAGAUUUAAAAGAUUGGGAAAAAAUUGGCAAAGAAUUAAAACAAGAAAUUAGGGAAGGUAAAAUCGUCCCACUUACAGUAUGGAAUGAUUGGGCCAUUAUUAAAGCAACUUUAGAACUGUUUCAAAUAGAAGAAGAUAGUGUUUCAGCUUCUGAUGCCCCUGAAAGCUGUGUAAUAGAUUGUGAAGAAGAGGCAGGGACAAAAUCCAGGAAAGGAAUGGAAAGUUCACAUUGUAAAAAUGCAGCAGAGUCUGUAAUGGCUCGGUCAAUGCAAAAUGUUGACUAUAAUCAAUUACAGGAGGUAAUAUAUCCUGAAACAUUAAGAUUAAAAGGAAAGAUCCAGAACCACUGGGGCCAUUGGAGCUAAAACCACAAUGGCCACCUCCUCUUCAGCCGAGUGAGUGCUGGGGGAGGGAGCCUGAAACUAGGCUUGCUGCAACUUGGCUCAUGGCACUCAUUAUUGCCCAACCUACAGUUCACUACAGUGAAGGAGCAAUUCUGACUCGCCCUGCAGCGUCCUGUGUGGGUCAAACAGUGGCCGCUAAGGAAAAGUUGGGGGUGCUACAUAAAAUAGUUAAAAAACUAUUUUAAAAAGGACACGUUUCACCCACUUUCUCUCUUUAGAAUUCUCCAGUGUUUGUAAUUCAGAAAAAUUCAGGCAGAUGGUGCAUGCUAACUGACUUAAGAGCCGUUAAUGUGGUAAUUCAACCCAUGGGGCCUCUCCAAACCUGGGCUGCCCUCUCUGGCCAUGAUUCCCAAACAUUGGCCUUUAAUUAUAAUUGAUCUAAAGGAUUUCUUUUUUACCAUUCCCCUGGCAAAAUGGGAUUUUGAAAAAUUUGCUUUUACUAUACCAGCCAUAAAUAAUAAAGAACAAGCCACCAGGUUUCAGUGGAAAGUGUUGCCUCACGGAAUGCUUAAUAGUCCAACUAUUCGUCAGACUUUUGUAGCUCAGGCUUUUCAACCAGUUAGAGACAAGUUUUCAGACUGUUAUUCAUUAUGUUGAUGAUAUUUUGUGUGCUGCAGAAAAGAGAGACAAAUUAAUUGACUAUUACACAUUUCUGCAGACAGAGGUUGCAAACGCAGGACUGACAAUAGCAUCUGAUAAGAUUCAGACCUCCACUCCUUUUCAAUAUUUGGGAAUGCAGAUAGAGGAAAGAAAAAUUAAACCACAAAAAAUAGAAAUAAAGACACAUCAAGAAUGUUAAAUGACUUUCAAAAAUUGCUAGGAGAUAUUAAUUGGAUUUGGCCAACUCUAGGCAUCCCUACUUAUGCCAUGUCAAAUUUGUUCUCUAUCUUGAGAGGGGAUCCGGACUUGAAUAGUAGAAGAACAUUAACUCCAGAGGCAACUAAAGAAAUUAAAUUAGUUGAAGAAAAACUUUGGUCAUCACAAGUAAAUAGAUCACUUAGCUCCACUACAACUUUUGAUUUUUGCUACCGUACGUUCUCCAACAGGCAUUGUUGUUCAAAAUACAGAUCUUGUGGAGUGGUCAUUUCUUCCUCACCAUACAAUUAAGACUUUUACAUUGUAUUUAGAUCAAAUGGCUACACUAAUUGGUCAGGCAAGACUACAAAUAGUAAAAUUGUGUGGAAGUGACCCAGAUAAAAUCAUUGUUCCUUUAAACAAGGAACAGGUUAGACAAGCCUUUAUCAAUUCUGCUGCAUGGCAGAUUGGUCUUGCUGAUUUUGUGGGAAUUAUUGAUAAUCAUUACCCAAAAACAAAAAUCUUCCAGUUUCUUAAAAUUGACUACUUGGAUUUUACCUAAAAUUACCAGACAGAAACCUUUAGAAAAUGCUCUGACAGUGUUUACUGAUGGUUCCAGCAAUGGAAAAGCAGCUUACACUGGGCCAAAAGAAUGAGUCAUUGAAAAUAUCACUCAGCUCAAAGAGCAGAGUUGGUUGCUGUCAUUUCAGUGUUACAAGAUUUUAAUCAGCCUAUUAACAUUGUUUCAGAUGCUCCAUAUGUAGUGCAGGCUACAAAGGAUGUUGAGACAGCCCUAAUCAAAUAUAGUAUGGAUGAUCAAUUAAAUCGGCUGUUUAAUUUGUUACAAUAAACUGUAAGAAAAAGAAAUUUCACAUUUUAUAUUAGUCAUAUUCAAGCACAUACUAAUUUACCAGGGUCUUUAACUAAGCCAAAUGAACGAGCUGACUUGCUAGUAUCAUCUGCCUUCAUAAAAACACAAGAACUUCACGCCCUGACUUAUGUAAAUGCAACAGGAUUAAAAAAUAAAUUUGAUAUCACAUGAAAACAGGCAAAAAAUAUUGUACAACAUUGUACUCAGUGUUAAGUCCUACACCUGCCCACUCAGGAGGUAGGAGUUAUUCCCAGAGGUUUAUGUGCUAAUGCAUUAUGGCAAAUGGAUGUCACACAUGUACCUUCAUUUGGAAAAUUUUCAUUUGUCCAUGUGACAGUUGAUACUCAUUCACAUUUCAUAUGGGCAACCUGUCAGACAGGAGAAAGUACUUCCCAUGUUAAAAGACAUUUAUUAUGUUGUUUUGCUGUCAUGGGAGUUCCAGAAAAAAUUAAAACAGAUAAUGGGCCAGGAUACUGUAAUAAAGCAUUUCAAAAAUUCUUAAAUCAGUGGAAAAUUACACAUACAACAGGAAUCCUUUAUAAUUCCCAAGGACAGGCCAUAAUUGAAAGAACUAACAGAACACUCAAAGCUCAAUUGGUUAAACAAAAAAAGGAAAAAUAGAGUAAGGAGUAUAACACUCCCCAGAUGCAACUUAAUCUAGCAUUCUAUUCUUUAAGUUUUUUAAACAUUUAUAGAAAUCAGACCACUACUUCUGCAGAACAUUUUACUGGUAAAAAGAACAGCCCACAUGAAGGAAAACUGAUUUGGUGGAAAGACAACAAAAAUAAAACAUGGGAAAUAGGGAAGGUGAUAACAUGGGGGAGAGGUUUUGUUUCACCAGGAAAAAAUCAGCUUCCAGUUUGGGUACUUAGAACUUACAGAAGAAGUUGCCAUCCACCAAGAAAGUGGAGCCGCCGACCUGGGCCCAGCUAAAGCAGCUGACACAGUUAGCUGAAAAAAGCCUGAAGAACACAAGAGUAACACAAACUCCAGAGAAUAUGCUGCUUGCAGCUUUAAUGAUUGUAUCAACGAUGUUACAGUGUGACUGGAAUACGUCAGAUUUUUGUAUUACACCUCGAGCCUAUAAUGAAUCUGAACAUCACUGGGACAUGGUUAGACGCCAUCUACAAGGAAGAGAAGAUAAUCUUACCUUAGUCUACAGGUACACCCAGCAGCUCCAGAGAGACAGUGACCAGUGAGAAUGGACCAUGACGACGAUGGUGGUUUUGUCAAAAAGAAAAGGGGGAUAUGCAGGGAAAAGAGAGAGAAAUCACACUGUUACUGUGUCUAUGUAGAAAGGGAAGACAUAAGAGAUUCCAUUUUGACCUGUAUCAAACAAUUGCUUUGCUGAGAUGUUGUUAAUCUGUAACUUUUCCCCAGCCACUUUGCCCCAACCUUGACCUCACAAAAACAUGUGUUGUAUAGAAUCAAGGUUUAAGGGAUCUAGGGCUGUGCAGGACAUGUCUUGUUAACAAAAUGUUUACAAGCAGUAUGCUUGGUAAGUCAUCGCCAUUCUCUAGUCUCGAUAAACCAGGGGGGCACAAUGCAGUGCAGAAAGCUGCAGGGACCUCUGCCCUGGAAAGCCGGGUAUUGUCCAAGGUUUCUCCCCAUGUGAUAGUCUGAAAUACAGCCUCGUGGGAUGAGAAAGACCUGACCGUACCCCAGCCCGACACCCGUGAAGGGUCUGUGCUGAGGUGGAUUAGUAAAAGAGGAAAGCCUCUUGCAGUUGAGAUAGAGGAAGGCCACUGUUUCCUGCCUGCCCCUGGGAACUGAAUGUCUCCGUAUAAAACCCGAUUGUACAUUUGUUCAAUUCUGAGAUAGGAGAAAAAUCGCCCUAUGGUGGGAGACGAGACAUGUUGGCAGCAAUGCUGCCCUGUUAUUCUUUAUUCCACUGAAAUGUUUGGGUGGAGAGAAACAUAAAUCUGGCCUACAUGCACAUCCAGGCAUAGUACCUCCCCUUGAACUUAAUUAUGACAUGGAUUCUUUUGCUCACAUUUUUUUUGGUACCUUCUCAUUAUCACCCUGCUGUCCUACUGCAUUCCUCUUGCUGAGAUAAUGAAAACAAUAAUCAAUAAAAACUGAGGGAACUCAGAGACUGGUGC